GAUGAACGCUGGCGGCGUGCCUAAUACAUGCAAGUCGAGCGAACGGACGAGAAGCUUGCUUCUCUGAUGUUAGCGGCGGACGGGUGAGUAACACGUGGAUAACCUACCUAUAAGACUGGGAUAACUUCGGGAAACCGGAGCUAAUACCGGAUAAUAUUUUGAACCGCAGGGUUCAAAAGUGAAAGACGGUCUUGCUGUCACUUAUAGAUGGAUCCGCGCUGCAUUAGCUAGUUGGUAAGGUAACGGCUUACCAAGGCAACGAUGCAUAGCCGACCUGAGAGGGUGAUCGGCCACACUGGGACUGAGACACGGUCCAGACUCCUACGGGAGGCAGCAGUAGGGAAUCUUCCGCAAAGGGCGAAAGCCUGACGGAGCAACGCCGCGUGAGUGAUGAAGGUCUUCGGAUCGUAAAACUCUGUUAUUAGGGAAGAACAUAUGUGUAAGUAACUGUGCACAUCUUGACGGUACCUGAUCAGAAAGCCCCGGCUAACUACGUG
This 497-nucleotide ribosomal RNA is filed under the name uncultured bacterium. RNAcentral describes it as "partial 16S ribosomal RNA". It matches the Rfam family "Bacterial small subunit ribosomal RNA", at positions 28 to 507 of the family's 1533-position model. The record is from RNAcentral.